AUGGCCUCCAGGCUCCUCUGUUGGGCAGCCAUCUGCAUCCUAGGGUCAGGUCACACAGGGGCUGAAGUCACCCAAGAACCCAGGCACAGGGUCACAAAGACAGGGCAGGAUGUGGCCCUCAGGUGUCAUCCAAUUUCUGGUCACAAUGCCCUUUACUGGUACCGACAGACCCUGGGGCAGGGCCUGGAGUUUUUGAUGUACUUCCAAAACAAGGAUGAAGCAGACACGUCAGGAAUGCCUAAGGCUCGCUUCUCCACAGAGAGGCCUGAUGGGUCGUCCUCCACCCUGAGGAUCCAACCCGUGGAGCCAGGGGACUCGGCCGUGUAUCUCUGUGCCAGCAGCUUGGCCACAACGCAGCACUGCCACCUCCUUCCUGUACAUAAACCACAUCUCCCCCUGCCUCCUUGCAGCAACUAG
Non-coding RNA from Orycteropus afer afer, 417 nucleotides. Lineage: Eukaryota; Metazoa; Chordata; Mammalia; Tubulidentata; Orycteropodidae. The record is from the annotation of a RefSeq genome assembly.